AUUGAACGCUGGCGGCAGGCCUAACACAUGCAAGUCGAGCGGAUGAAGGGAGCUUGCUCCUGGAUUCAGCGGCGGACGGGUGAGUAAUGCCUAGGAAUCUGCCUGGUAGUGGGGGAUAACGUCCGGAAACGGGCGCUAAUACCGCAUACGUCCUGAGGGAGAAAGUGGGGGAUCUUCGGACCUCACGCUAUCAGAUGAGCCUAGGUCGGAUUAGCUAGUUGGUGGGGUAAAGGCCUACCAAGGCGACGAUCCGUAACUGGUCUGAGAGGAUGAUCAGUCACACUGGAACUGAGACACGGUCCAGACUCCUACGGGAGGCAGCAGUGGGGAAUAUUGGACAAUGGGCGAAAGCCUGAUCCAGCCAUGCCGCAUGUGUGAAGAAGGUCUUCGGAUUGUAGAGCACUUUAAGUUGGGAGGAAGGGCAGUAAGUUAAUACCUUGCUGUUUUGACGUUACCAACAGAAUAAGCACCGGCUAACUUCGUG
Molecule: ribosomal RNA, 484 nt
Filed under: uncultured bacterium
Lineage: Bacteria
Description: partial 16S ribosomal RNA
Rfam family: Bacterial small subunit ribosomal RNA
Source: RNAcentral